CGUUGGUGAACCAGCGGAGGGAUCAUUACUGAGUACUACACUCUCUACCCUUUGUGAACUAUUAUACCUGUUGCUUCGGCGGCGCCCGCAAGGGUGCCCGCCGGUCUCAUCAGAAUCUCUGUUUUCGAACCCGACGAUACUUCUGAGUGUUCUUAGCGAACUGUCAAAACUUUUAACAACGGAUCUCUUGGCUCCAGCAUCGAUGAAGAACGCAGCGAAACGCGAUAUGUAAUGUGAAUUGCAGAAUUCAGUGAAUCAUCGAAUCUUUGAACGCACAUGGCGCCUUCCAGUAUCCUGGGAGGCAUGCCUGUCCGAGCGUCGUUUCAACCCUCGAGCCCCUGUGGCCCGGCGUUGGGGAUCUGCCACGGCAGGCCCCUAAAACCAGUGGCGGACCCGAAGGGCCCUCUCCUUUGCGCAGUAGCAUUCGCCUCGCAUUGGGAGUCCUCGGCGUCCUGCCUCUAAACCCCCCACAAGUCCGCUUCGGCGGCACC
Molecule: unclassified non-coding RNA, 491 nt
Filed under: Plectosphaerella pauciseptata
Lineage: Eukaryota; Fungi; Ascomycota; Sordariomycetes; Glomerellales; Plectosphaerellaceae
Description: sequence contains 18S rRNA gene, ITS1, 5.8S rRNA gene, ITS2
Rfam family: 5.8S ribosomal RNA (bases 168-321)
Source: RNAcentral